Molecule: unclassified non-coding RNA, 209 nt
Filed under: Hevea brasiliensis (rubber tree)
Lineage: Eukaryota; Viridiplantae; Streptophyta; Magnoliopsida; Malpighiales; Euphorbiaceae
Source: RNAcentral
ACUGUCAGGUUUCUAGGCUACAGCUAUCCUGGUCAUUCUCCCAUUCACCUAUGUGAACGAUAGAAUUAGUAAUGUCUGACAGUACAACUUUCCUACCAUAGGUUAUACAAGAAACUUGAGUUUCUUGAAUCUUGCUUUGAAACCAAACGUUCUAAUCCAGACAAAAUAAAGAAAUUAUUGGUGCAUAUAUCUCUCUCUCACAAUUCAUG